RNAcentral lists this ribosomal RNA (863 nucleotides) under Pediococcus acidilactici. RNAcentral's name for it is "bacterial SSU rRNA". It matches the Rfam family "Bacterial small subunit ribosomal RNA", at positions 47 to 864 of the family's 1533-position model. The record is from RNAcentral. Lineage: Bacteria; Bacillati; Bacillota; Bacilli; Lactobacillales; Lactobacillaceae.
CCUAAUACAUGCAAGUCGAACGAACUUCCGUUAAUUGAUUAUGACGUGCUUGCACUGAAUGAGAUUUUAACACGAAGUGAGUGGCGGACGGGUGAGUAACACGUGGGUAACCUGCCCAGAAGCAGGGGAUAACACCUGGAAACAGAUGCUAAUACCGUAUAACAGAGAAAACCGCCUGGUUUUCUUUUAAAAGAUGGCUCUGCUAUCACUUCUGGAUGGACCCGCGGCGCAUUAGCUAGUUGGUGAGGUAACGGCUCACCAAGGCGAUGAUGCGUAGCCGACCUGAGAGGGUAAUCGGCCACAUUGGGACUGAGACACGGCCCAGACUCCUACGGGAGGCAGCAGUAGGGAAUCUUCCACAAUGGACGCAAGUCUGAUGGAGCAACGCCGCGUGAGUGAAGAAGGGUUUCGGCUCGUAAAGCUCUGUUGUUAAAGAAGAACGUGGGUGAGAGUAACUGUUCACCCAGUGACGGUAUUUAACCAGAAAGCCACGGCUAACUACGUGCCAGCAGCCGCGGUAAUACGUAGGUGGCAAGCGUUAUCCGGAUUUAUUGGGCGUAAAGCGAGCGCAGGCGGUCUUUUAAGUCUAAUGUGAAAGCCUUCGGCUCAACCGAAGAAGUGCAUUGGAAACUGGGAGACUUGAGUGCAGAAGAGGACAGUGGAACUCCAUGUGUAGCGGUGAAAUGCGUAGAUAUAUGGAAGAACACCAGUGGCGAAGGCGGCUGUCUGGUCUGUAACUGACGCUGAGGCUCGAAAGCAUGGGUAGCGAACAGGAUUAGAUACCCUGGUAGUCCAUGCCGUAAACGAUGAUUACUAAGUGUUGGAGGGUUUCCGCCCUUCAGUGCUGCAGCUAACGCAUUAAG